RNAcentral lists this ribosomal RNA (627 nucleotides) under Triticum aestivum (bread wheat). RNAcentral describes it as "partial small subunit ribosomal RNA". The record is from RNAcentral. Lineage: Eukaryota; Viridiplantae; Streptophyta; Magnoliopsida; Poales; Poaceae.
AUGGGGAAGAAAGGUAUAGUUGUGGCGACCACCAUCGUCGCCGUGAUGACUGUCAUCUUUGGAGUCAUCGGCGCGGUUUUCUUGGGACUGAGACGCUAUGAGGAUGACCGCGAUGACCGCAGCGUGUGUAAGUACGCGCGAUCGCCGGCGACGGCUUGCGGCGUCGUGGCGGCCGUGCUGGCGCUAACGACACAGAUUCUCGCCAGCGUGGCCAUCGGCUGCUGUGGGGCAUGGCAGAAUCCCAAGAGGGCCAAUCGCAUCGCCGCCGUCGUUUUCUACGUCAUCUCAUGGAUCCUAGUGAUCAUAGCGGUGCUGGUGUUUCUGGGAGGCGCCCUAUUAGGGAUUGAAGGAUAUACAGAGAAAGUUAUUGGGAAAACUAUUGAGAACGGUAGCUGUGUUGGAGGUGUCGGAGGUGAAGGAGUUUUCGUGGACGCGACAUUCCUGUUUCUUGUAGUUGUCGCCCUUGAGGUCUCCUCGUAUCUUCUUAUUCAGAAAGAUGAGCACCACCAAGCAGCCGCAAGCGAUAAUCCUCCUUCGAUACCAACCGCUACAUCUCCUUUGGCAACAACAGCUUCUUCUAAAGAUGAUGCCCACGCCUCCGCUCCCGCACCAGCAAAUCAAGUCUGA